Molecule: ribosomal RNA, 434 nt
Filed under: uncultured bacterium
Lineage: Bacteria
Description: partial 16S ribosomal RNA
Rfam family: Bacterial small subunit ribosomal RNA
Source: RNAcentral
AGCGAACGCUGGCGGCAGGCCUAACACAUGCAAGUCGAACGAACCUUUCGGGGUUAGUGGCGGACGGGUGAGUAACACGUGGGAACGUGCCUUUAGGUUCGGAAUAACUCAGGGAAACUUGUGCUAAUACCGAAUGUGCCCUUCGGGGGAAAGAUUUAUCGCCUUUAGAGCGGCCCGCGUCUGAUUAGCUAGUUGGUUGAGGUAAUGGCUCACCAAGGCGACGAUCAGUAGCUGGGCUGAGAGGAUGAUCCGCCACAUUGGGACUGAGACACGGCCCAAACUCCUACGGGAGGCAGGAGUGGGGAAUCGUGCGCAAUGGGCGAAAGCAUGACGCAGCCAUGCCGGGUGAAUGAUGAAGGUCUUAGGAUUGUAAAAUUCUUUCACCGGGGACGAUAAUGACGGUACCCGGAGAAGAAGCCCCGGCUAACUUCGUG